Molecule: ribosomal RNA, 634 nt
Filed under: Escherichia coli
Lineage: Bacteria; Pseudomonadati; Pseudomonadota; Gammaproteobacteria; Enterobacterales; Enterobacteriaceae
Description: partial 23S ribosomal RNA
Rfam family: Bacterial large subunit ribosomal RNA
Source: RNAcentral
CCUUUUGUAUAAUGGGUCAGCGACUUAUAUUCUGUAGCAAGGUUAACCGAAUAGGGGAGCCGAAGGGAAACCGAGUCUUAACUGGGCGUUAAGUUGCAGGGUAUAGACCCGAAACCCGGUGAUCUAGCCAUGGGCAGGUUGAAGGUUGGGUAACACUAACUGGAGGACCGAACCGACUAAUGUUGAAAAAUUAGCGGAUGACUUGUGGCUGGGGGUGAAAGGCCAAUCAAACCGGGAGAUAGCUGGUUCUCCCCGAAAGCUAUUUAGGUAGCGCCUCGUGAAUUCAUCUCCGGGGGUAGAGCACUGUUUCGGCAAGGGGGUCAUCCCGACUUACCAACCCGAUGCAAACUGCGAAUACCGGAGAAUGUUAUCACGGGAGACACACGGCGGGUGCUAACGUCCGUCGUGAAGAGGGAAACAACCCAGACCGCCAGCUAAGGUCCCAAAGUCAUGGUUAAGUGGGAAACGAUGUGGGAAGGCCCAGACAGCCAGGAUGUUGGCUUAGAAGCAGCCAUCAUUUAAAGAAAGCGUAAUAGCUCACUGGUCGAGUCGGCCUGCGCGGAAGAUGUAACGGGGCUAAACCAUGCACCGAAGCUGCGGCAGCGACACUAUGUGUUGUUGGGUAGGGGAGCGU